RNAcentral lists this ribosomal RNA (468 nucleotides) under uncultured bacterium. RNAcentral's name for it is "partial 16S ribosomal RNA". It matches the Rfam family "Bacterial small subunit ribosomal RNA", at positions 28 to 507 of the family's 1533-position model. The record is from RNAcentral.
GACGAACGCUGGCGGCGUGCUUAACACAUGCAAGUCGAACGGAAAGGCCCUGCUUUUGUGGGGUGCUCGAGUGGCGAACGGGUGAGUAACACGUGAGUAACCUGCCCUUGACUUUGGGAUAACUUCAGGAAACUGGGGCUAAUACCGGCUAGGAGCUCCUGCUGCAUGGUGGGGGUUGGAAAGUUUCGGCGGUUGGGGAUGGACUCGCGGCUUAUCAGCUUGUUGGUGGGGUAGUGGCUUACCAAGGCUUUGACGGGUAGCCGGCCUGAGAGGGUGACCGGCCACAUUGGGACUGAGAUACGGCCCAGACUCCUACGGGAGGCAGCAGUGGGGAAUAUUGCACAAUGGGCGGAAGCGUGAUGCAGCAACGCCGCGUGCGGGAUGACGGCCUGCGGGUUGUAAACCGCUUUCGCCUGUGACGAAGCGUGAGUGACGGUAAUGGGUAAAGAAGCACCGGCUAACUACGUG